UAAUACGGAUGUGUUCGAUGAUCGCAAGGUCGUCGAGUAAAGUCCAAAAGACGCUCGGGAGGGGCCUAUGUCCUAUCAGCUUGUUGGUGAGGUAAAAGCUCACCAGGCUAUGACGGGUAGCGGGUGUGAGAGCAUGACCCGCCUCACUGGGACUGAGACACUGCCCAGACACCUACGGGUGGCUGCAGUCGAGAAUAUUCCACAAUGGGCGAAAGCCUGAUGGAGCGACGCCGCGUGCAGGAUGAAGGGCUUCGGCUUGUAAACUGCUUUUCUAUGGGACGAACUUCGGUGACGGUACCAUGGGAAUAAGAGGUUGCUAACUCUGUGCCAGCAGCAGCGGUAAUACAGAGACCUCAAGCGUUAUCCGGAUUUAUUGGGCGUAAAGCGUCCGCAGACGGUUUGUUAAGUCUUGCGUCAAAUCUCUGGGCUCAACCCAGGGGCUGCGCGAGAAACUGGCAAGCUAGAGGGCGGGAGAGGUAAGCGGAAUUACCGGUGUAGUAGUAAAAUGCGUUAAUAUCGGUAAGAACACCAAAGGCGAAGGCAGCUUACUGGAACACUCCUGACGUUAAGGGACGAAAGCAUGGGUAGCGAAGCGGAUUAGAUACCCGCGUAGUCCAUGCCCUAAACGAUGAUUACUGGAUUUUGGGAGUAUCGACCCUCCCAGAGUCGUCAAAACAAGCUAACGCGUUAAGUAAUCCG
RNAcentral lists this ribosomal RNA (699 nucleotides) under uncultured bacterium. Its description in RNAcentral is "bacterial SSU rRNA". It matches the Rfam family "Bacterial small subunit ribosomal RNA", at positions 164 to 871 of the family's 1533-position model. The record is from RNAcentral.